UGGAGCCGGCGGCUCUCUUAGGGUUCCCUCAUCUGGGAAAUGCUUCGGGGAGUUGAAAAUAAGCGUAGAUCCG
Molecule: transfer RNA, 73 nt
Filed under: Corymbia citriodora subsp. citriodora
Lineage: Eukaryota; Viridiplantae; Streptophyta; Magnoliopsida; Myrtales; Myrtaceae
Description: tRNA-Ala
Source: RNAcentral